This 468-nucleotide ribosomal RNA is filed under the name uncultured bacterium. Its description in RNAcentral is "partial 16S ribosomal RNA". The stretch from base 49 to 468 matches the Rfam family "Bacterial small subunit ribosomal RNA", at positions 39 to 507 of the family's 1533-position model. The record is from RNAcentral.
GGGGGGGGGGGGGGGGGGGCGUGGGGGGGGCGGGGCGGGCGGGGGGGCCCGGCGUGGGGGGGGUGCUCGGGGGGCGGGCGGGGGAGUAACACGUGAGUAACCUGCCCUUGCCUUUGGGAUGCCUUCAGGGAACUGGGGCUAAUACCGGAUAGGAGCUCCUGCGGCAUGGUGGGGGUGGGAAAGUUUCGGCGGUUGGGGAUGGACUCGCGGCUUAUCAGCUUGUUGGUGGGGGAGUGGCUUACCCAGGCUUUGACGGGUAGCCGGCCUGAGAGGGUGACCGGCCACAUUGGGACUGAGAUACGGCCCAGACUCCUACGGGAGGCAGCAGUGGGGAAUAUUGCACAAUGGGCGGAAGCCUGAUGCAGCAACGCCGCGUGCGGGAUGACGGUCUUCGGGUUGUAAACCGCUUUCGCCUGUGACGAAGCGUGAGUGACGGUAAUGGGUAAAGAAGCACCGGCUAACUACGUG